Molecule: long non-coding RNA, 1742 nt
Filed under: Homo sapiens (human)
Lineage: Eukaryota; Metazoa; Chordata; Mammalia; Primates; Hominidae
Description: endogenous retrovirus group K13 member 1
Source: RNAcentral
GAGUAGCUGGGAUUACAGGCGUGUGCCACCAUGCCCGGCUAAUUUUUGUGUUUUUAGUAGAGACCGGGGAAGGUAUGGGCCCUCUUUUGAGAAAAAUGCAGAGUGACACUGAAUUUUGUAACUACAUCAGGAGGCUCUUGAACCUUCUGCAGCUCACUCGUGGAGUUUGUAGAGAUGCGUAAUAAUCCGAAGUGUUAAGGAAGAAGGUUCUGUUGAGAAAAAGUUGGAGGGCUGAAAGGGAUGCCUUUCGCUAUUUCGACAUGUGUGGCUGUACCCCAGAGUGCCCUGGCUAACACGCAAAACCAUGAAUUAGGCGGCUUGGCGAGGCUCAGUGGAGGCUGGGGCCGAGAGUCAUGUCAAAGUUUGUGGGGUUAACCUGCACCCAGUGACAGUCAUGGCGAAGUUUGUGAGGUUAACUCGCACCCAGUAACGCUGUUCCAAUGCAAGGUGUGUAUUUGGUGUCAUCCACGGGAAGAGGAAACAGCAAAUUUUCUCAUGGCCUUGGCAGUUCCACAUGAUGGACAUUUCAUAUCUGCAGUUUUCUUCGCAUGAGAUGGCUUUUUUGCACAAAAACACUGGAAUCCAGUGAGCAAGAAUGAUAGAAUGCAAGAUGGAUUUCCACAUGAGGAAGUGUCACGAACAAGCGUUUUGCAUCUCUGUCAGCUGGAUUCCCCCAUGUGUACGUAUGUGAGAACAUGCCGUGUUUCCUGUCUGUAAUGGUAGAGGCAGCCCUGAUACUGGAUUUUCACCUGAGGAUGGAUAGAUCUUCAGGGUUCAAGUGGGUUUGCAUCUGGACUUUAGGGUGGCCCUGUAGGCCCUGUGUGAGAAGCCCCCUUCCCAGUGAACUUUCCCUUGUGUGCCCGCGUGGACAGCCAACAGGGGGAGCAGUGCGAGCGUGAAGGCAGACAGUGGCCUGGCCCAGUCUGAUGAUGGCUGAACUCUGUGACCCCGGGGCCUGUUUCAGCCUCCUGCUGUCAGAAAGCAGCUGUUUGGGAAGAGGCUGUGAUUCGGCCUUGUUUGAGGGCCGAUACUCUGAAUGGGGAGAGACCCACCGACCCUGUGGGGCUGGUCCCUACAUCUGGCGCUCUGACGUGGGGCUCUCCCUCGCUGUGUGAAGUUGCACCCUGAGUGCGGGAUCAGCGGAGGAGUUCAACGAGAGAUUCCUGAGGAUUGCAGUCUAUAAACUUGGUGGAAAAGAACUACAGCCUGUGUGGGUCCCCUCCCGACAAUUAAAAUUGCACCAUAACUCCAAAGAUGAAACGCUCCCAGAAAGAAAAGGCAAAGACCCAUCGGAAACAAAAGAGCAACUUUCACCGCCUGAUACAUACACUUCAUGACAUCCACAUUGAGACAAAAUCUCGCCGUGUGACCUACAACACCUCUCGUUCAACCCCACCUACUUGGGGUCGAAUACAGAUUUUAUCUCAUCAAACAGAAAAAUUCUUAACAGAAAAAGGAAUCCCAAAAAUGACUGGUAAUAUAAUUCUGGCUGCCUUUAUGGUAGUCAGUGCAGCGUCUGCAGAUGCCUCUAAGGAGUCCGAAACCAAGUCCGAAGUCAACAACAAGCAAUGAUGGCGAUGGCGAUUCUAGUUAAUAAAAAGGGGGGAGAUGUGGGCGGCAAGCCACCCAGGCACCGAGGCAAGAGACAGAGGACACGAGCUGUUCCAGUAUAAUAAAAUAUAAAACAAGAAUAGUUAUACCAGAUAUAGAUCUUAGAUAUGAUUAUAUACGAAUAUCAUUAA